UUAAGCGACUAAGCGUACACGGUGGAUGCCCUGGCAGUCAGAGGCGAUGAAGGACGUGCUAAUCUGCGAUAAGCGUCGGUGAGGUGAUAUGAACCGUUAUAACCGGCGAUUUCCGAAUGGGGAAACCCAGUGUGUUUCGACACACUAUCAUUAACUGAAUCCAUAGGUUAAUGAGGCGAACCGGGGGAACUGAAACAUCUAAGUACCCCGAGGAAAAGAAAUCAACCGAGAUUCCCCCAGUAGCGGCGAGCGAACGGGGAGGAGCCCAGAGCCUGAAUCAGUGUGUGUGUUAGUGGAAGCGUCUGGAAAGGCGUGCGAUACAGGGUGACAGCCCCGUACACAAAAAUGCACAUAUUGUGAGCUCGAUGAGUAGGGCGGGACACGUGGUAUCCUGUCUGAAUAUGGGGGGACCAUCCUCCAAGGCUAAAUACUCCUGACUGACCGAUAGUGAACCAGUACCGUGAGGGAAAGGCGAAAAGAACCCCGGCGAGGGGAGUGAAAAAGAACCUGAAACCGUGUACGUACAAGCAGUGGGAGCCUCUUAAUGGGGUGACUGCGUACCUUUUGUAUAAUGGGUCAGCGACUUAUAUUCUGUAGCAAGGUUAACCGAAUAGGGGAGCCGAAGGGAAACCGAGUCUUAACUGGGCGUUAAGUUGCAGGGUAUAGACCCGAAACCCGGUGAUCUAGCCAUGGGCAGGUUGAAGGUUGGGUAACACUAACUGGAGGACCGAACCGACUAAUGUUGAAAAAUUAGCGGAUGACUUGUGGCUGGGGGGGAAAGGCCAAUCAAACCGGGAGAUAGCUGGUUCUCCCCGAAAGCUAUUUAGGUAGCGCCUCGUGAAUUCAUCUCCGGGGGUAGAGCACUGUUUCGGCAAGGGGGUCAUCCCGACUUACCAACCCGAUGCAAACUGCGAAUACCGGAGAAUGUUAUCACGGGAGACACACGGCGGGUGCUAACGUCCGUCGUGAAGAGGGAAACAACCCAGACCGCCAGCUAAGGUCCCAAAGUCAUGGUUAAGUGGGAAACGAUGUGGGAAGGCCCAGACAGCCAGGAUGUUGGCUUAGAAGCAGCCAUCAUUUAAAGAAAGCGUAAUAGCUCACUGGUCGAGUCGGCCUGCGCGGAAGAUGUAACGGGGCUAAACCAUGCACCGAAGCUGCGGCAGCGACACUAUGUGUUGUUGGGUAGGGGAGCGUUCUGUAAGCCUGUGAAGGUGGCCUGUGAGGGUUGCUGGAGGUAUCAGAAGUGCGAAUGCUGACAUAAGUAACGAUAAAGCGGGUGAAAAGCCCGCUCGCCGGAAGACCAAGGGUUCCUGUCCAACGUUAAUCGGGGCAGGGUGAGUCGACCCCUAAGGCGAGGCCGAAAGGCGUAGUCGAUGGGAAACAGGUUAAUAUUCCUGUACUUGGUGUUACUGCGAAGGGGGGACGGAGAAGGCUAUGUUGGCCGGGCGACGGUUGUCCCGGUUUAAGCGUGUAGGCUGGUUUUCCAGGCAAAUCCGGAAAACCAAGGCUGAGGCGUGAUGACGAGGCACUACGGUGCUGAAGUGACAAAUGCCCUGCUUCCAGGAAAAGCCUCUAAGCAUCAGGUAACAUCAAAUCGUACCCCAAACCGACACAGGUGGUCAGGUAGAGAAUACCAAGGCGCUUGAGAGAACUCGGGUGAAGGAACUAGGCAAAAUGGUGCCGUAACUUCGGGAGAAGGCACGCUGAUAUGUAGGUGAAGCGACUUGCUCGUGGAGCUGAAAUCAGUCGAAGAUACCAGCUGGCUGCAACUGUUUAUUAAAAACACAGCACUGUGCAAACACGAAAGUGGACGUAUACGGUGUGACGCCUGCCCGGUGCCGGAAGGUUAAUUGAUGGGGUUAGCGGUAACGCGAAGCUCUUGAUCGAAGCCCCGGUAAACGGCGGCCGUAACUAUAACGGUCCUAAGGUAGCGAAAUUCCUUGUCGGGUAAGUUCCGACCUGCACGAAUGGCGUAAUGAUGGCCAGGCUGUCUCCACCCGAGACUCAGUGAAAUUGAACUCGCUGUGAAGAUGCAGUGUACCCGCGGCAAGACGGAAAGACCCCGUGAACCUUUACUAUAGCUUGACACUGAACAUUGAGCCUUGAUGUGUAGGAUAGGUGGGAGGCUUUGAAGUGUGGACGCCAGUCUGCAUGGAGCCGACCUUGAAAUACCACCCUUUAAUGUUUGAUGUUCUAACGUUGGCCCGUAAUCCGGGUUGCGGACAGUGUCUGGUGGGUAGUUUGACUGGGGCGGUCUCCUCCUAAAGAGUAACGGAGGAGCACGAAGGUUGGCUAAUCCUGGUCGGACAUCAGGAGGUUAGUGCAAUGGCAUAAGCCAGCUUGACUGCGAGCGUGACGGCGCGAGCAGGUGCGAAAGCAGGUCAUAGUGAUCCGGUGGUUCUGAAUGGAAGGGCCAUCGCUCAACGGAUAAAAGGUACUCCGGGGAUAACAGGCUGAUACCGCCCAAGAGUUCAUAUCGACGGCGGUGUUUGGCACCUCGAUGUCGGCUCAUCACAUCCUGGGGCUGAAGUAGGUCCCAAGGGUAUGGCUGUUCGCCAUUUAAAGUGGUACGCGAGCUGGGUUUAGAACGUCGUGAGACAGUUCGGUCCCUAUCUGCCGUGGGCGCUGGAGAACUGAGGGGGGCUGCUCCUAGUACGAGAGGACCGGAGUGGACGCAUCACUGGUGUUCGGGUUGUCAUGCCAAUGGCACUGCCCGGUAGCUAAAUGCGGAAGAGAUAAGUGCUGAAAGCAUCUAAGCACGAAACUUGCCCCGAGAUGAGUUCUCCCUGACUCCUUGAGGGUCCUGAAGGAACGUUGAAGACGACGACGUUGAUAGGCCGGGUGUGUAAGCGCAGCGAUGCGUUGAGCUAACCGGUACUAAUGAACCGUGAGGCUUAACCUU
RNAcentral lists this ribosomal RNA (2902 nucleotides) under Escherichia coli HVH 7 (4-7315031). RNAcentral describes it as "bacterial LSU rRNA". It matches the Rfam family "Bacterial large subunit ribosomal RNA". Lineage: Bacteria; Pseudomonadati; Pseudomonadota; Gammaproteobacteria; Enterobacterales; Enterobacteriaceae. RNAcentral also lists the same sequence under 1 other name. The record is from RNAcentral.